AGAGUUUGAUCAUGGCUCAGGAUGAACGCUAGCGGCAGGCUUAAUACAUGCAAGUCGUGGGGCAGCAGGAGUAGCAAUACUUGCUGGCGACCGGCAAACGGGUGCGUAACACGUACACAACUUUCCUUUAAGUGGGGGAUAGCCCAGAGAAAUUUGGAUUAAUACCCCGUAAUAUUAUGAGAUGGCAUCAUUUUAUAAUU
This 200-nucleotide ribosomal RNA is filed under the name uncultured bacterium. RNAcentral's name for it is "partial 16S ribosomal RNA". It matches the Rfam family "Bacterial small subunit ribosomal RNA", at positions 8 to 202 of the family's 1533-position model. The record is from RNAcentral.